RNAcentral lists this ribosomal RNA (610 nucleotides) under Staphylococcus aureus. Its description in RNAcentral is "partial 23S ribosomal RNA". It matches the Rfam family "Bacterial large subunit ribosomal RNA", at positions 350 to 962 of the family's 2925-position model. Lineage: Bacteria; Bacillati; Bacillota; Bacilli; Caryophanales; Staphylococcaceae. The record is from RNAcentral.
AUGAAUCAAAGAAGGUAAUAAUCCUGUAGUCGAAAAUGUUGUCUCUCUUGAGUGGAUCCUGAGUACGACGGAGCACGUGAAAUUCCGUCGGAAUCUGGGAGGACCAUCUCCUAAGGCUAAAUACUCUCUAGUGACCGAUAGUGAACCAGUACCGUGAGGGAAAGGUGAAAAGCACCCCGGAAGGGGAGUGAAAUAGAACCUGAAACCGUGUGCUUACAAGUAGUCAGAGCCCGUUAAUGGGUGAUGGCGUGCCUUUUGUAGAAUGAACCGGCGAGUUACGAUUUGAUGCAAGGUUAAGCAGUAAAUGUGGAGCCGUAGCGAAAGCGAGUCUGAAUAGGGCGUUUAGUAUUUGGUCGUAGACCCGAAACCAGGUGAUCUACCCUUGGUCAGGUUGAAGUUCAGGUAACACUGAAUGGAGGACCGAACCGACUUACGUUGAAAAGUGAGCGGAUGAACUGAGGGUAGCGGAGAAAUUCCAAUCGAACCUGGAGAUAGCUGGUUCUCUCCGAAAUAGCUUUAGGGCUAGCCUCAAGUGAUGAUUAUUGGAGGUAGAGCACUGUUUGGACGAGGGGCCCCUCUCGGGUUACCGAAUUCAGACAAACUCCGAAUG